AUGUCAUUGAAACAAAUCUGUUUUGUCUCUGUUUUCUUUUCGGAUGAUGAGGAUGAUCCAGCCGAUCCUAACAUAAUUUUGGAGGAGCCGGACGACGAAGCCUCAAAAUCAGAUAAAGAUGUCUCCGACGCGACCGGACUUCCACUAGAUUUUUAUAGGGGUCAGGAGGGAAAAGAUAUGUUGUUUUCUAUCAGUCCCAAGCGGAUACUCCCCAGCUUCCACGGUCCGCUUACCGAGGAAGAGAUGCGGGAGGACCCAGGGCCAGAGCAAGUUGGGUUGGGGUAUAGAGCCGUAAGCGCUCGUACGGUUCAUAGUUGGGUAUGA
RNAcentral lists this ribosomal RNA (324 nucleotides) under Triticum aestivum (bread wheat). RNAcentral describes it as "partial small subunit ribosomal RNA". Lineage: Eukaryota; Viridiplantae; Streptophyta; Magnoliopsida; Poales; Poaceae. The record is from RNAcentral.